Molecule: long non-coding RNA, 787 nt
Organism: Triticum aestivum (bread wheat)
Lineage: Eukaryota; Viridiplantae; Streptophyta; Magnoliopsida; Poales; Poaceae
Exons: 5
Source: RefSeq, a predicted model, not a curated record
AUCCCUUCCCGUAGAACUUCUGCAACGGAGAACCGCAAACCAUCGCCACCAGCGGCCUAACCCGGCGACGAUGUCCUAGGGAAGAACUCACUACCUCUUACUGGUAAGGCACCCUUGUCGCCAGUCCAAGAAGCAGAUCUAGGCGGGGAUGGUGUUGGCGUGCUGUGAUGGCUGACUCCACCUCCUUGAGCCGCCGCACCCAACUCAUCCCUUCCCGUAGAACUUCUCCAACGGAGAACCGCAAACCAUCGCCACCAGUGGCCUAACCUGGCAGCGACGUCCUAGGGAAGAACUCACUACCUCUUACCGGUAAGGCACCCUUGUCGCCAGUCCAAGAAGCAGAUCUAGGUGGGGAUGGCGAUGGCGUGCUGUGAUGGCUGACUCCACCUCCCGAUCGGAAGAACUCGCUAUCGGUAAAGGCUCUGUCACCCACCCAGGAAGCAAAUCUAGGCGGGGAUGGCGAUGGCGGGUUGUGACUCAGUCUUGUCGGCAGUCCAAGAAGCAGAUCUAGGCGGGGAUGGCGAUGGCGUACUGUGAUGGCUGACUCCACCUCCUGAUCGGAAGAACUCGCUAUCGGUAAAGGCUCUGUACCCGCCUAGGAAGCAGAUCUAGGCGGGGAUAGCGAUGUCGGGUUGUGACUCAGUCGUGUUGCUUUGUUCUAGAUCAGGAACUCGCUACCAGUAAAGCACCUUUGUGGCCCACCCAAGAAGCAGAUCUAGGCGGGGAUGGCGAUGGCGUGCUGAGGGUUGAAUCCAGCUCCCAAUCAAGGUAUCGGCUAUUCUUCCUC